RNAcentral lists this ribosomal RNA (261 nucleotides) under uncultured archaeon. Its description in RNAcentral is "partial 16S ribosomal RNA". It matches the Rfam family "Archaeal small subunit ribosomal RNA", at positions 748 to 1008 of the family's 1478-position model. The record is from RNAcentral.
CAGCCGUAAACAAUGUGCGUUAGGUGUGUCGGUAACCACGCGUUACUGAUGCGCCGAAGAGAAAUUGUGAAACGCACCACCUGGGAAGUACGGUCGCAAGGCUGAAACUUAAAGGAAUUGGCGGGGGAGCACCACAACAGGUGGAGCCUGCGGUUUAAUUGGAUUCAACGCCGGACAUCUCACCGGAUAAGACAGCUAAAUGAUUGUCAAUCUGAAGGUUUUACAUGACUAGCUGAGAGGAGGUGCAUGGCGUCAGUGACU